UCGAGAAUUUUUCACAAUGGGCGCAAGCCUGAUGGAGCGACGCCGCGUGGGGGAUGAAUGGCUUCGGCCCGUAAACCCCUGUCAUUUGCGAUCAACCGUUAUUAUUUAAAAGAUGAUGACCUGAUAGUAGCGAAAGAGGAAGGGACGGCUAACUCUGUGCCAGCAGCCGCGGUAAUACAGAGGUCCCAAGCGUUGUUCGGAUUCACUGGGCGUAAAGGGUGCGUAGGUGGCGAGGUAAGUCGGAUGUGAAAUCUCCAAGCUCAACUUGGAAAAUGCAUUGGAAACUACCUUGCUCGAGGUUUGGAGGGGGGACUGGAAUACUUGGUGUAGCAGUGAAAUGCGUAGAUAUUACACAGAACACCGAUUGCGUAGGCAGCUUACUAGAGGUUUACUGACGCUGAUGCACGAAAGCGUGGGGAUCAAACA
RNAcentral lists this ribosomal RNA (426 nucleotides) under uncultured prokaryote. RNAcentral's name for it is "bacterial SSU rRNA". It matches the Rfam family "Bacterial small subunit ribosomal RNA", at positions 355 to 774 of the family's 1533-position model. The record is from RNAcentral.